RNAcentral lists this ribosomal RNA (203 nucleotides) under Staphylococcus aureus. RNAcentral's name for it is "partial 23S ribosomal RNA". It matches the Rfam family "Bacterial large subunit ribosomal RNA", at positions 2272 to 2474 of the family's 2925-position model. The record is from RNAcentral. Lineage: Bacteria; Bacillati; Bacillota; Bacilli; Caryophanales; Staphylococcaceae.
GACUGGGGCGGCCGCCUCCUAAAAGGUAACGGGGGGGCUCAAAGGGUCCCCCAGAAUGGGUGGAAAACAUUCAUAGAGGGGUAAGGCAUAAGGGAGGUUGACCGCGAGACCUACAAGUCGGGCAGGGGCGAAAGAGGGGCUGAGUGAGCCGGUGGGUCCGCAUGGCAGGGCCAUCGCCCUAAGGAUUAAAGCGACCCCGGGGA